GACGAACGCUGGCGGCGUGCUUAACACAUGCAAGUCGAACGGAAAGGCCCUGCUUUUGUGGGGUGCUCGAGUGGCGAACGGGUGAGUAACACGUGAGUAACCUGCCCUUGACUUUGGGAUAACUUCAGGAAACUGGGGCUAAUACCGGAUAGGAGCUCCUGCUGCAUGGUGGGGGUUGGAAAGUUUCGGCGGUUGGGGAUGGACUCGCGGCUUAUCAGCUUGUUGGUGGGGUAGUGGCUUACCAAGGCUUUGACGGGUAGCCGGCCUGAGAGGGUGACCGGCCACAUUGGGACUGAGAUACGGCCCAGACUCCUACGGGAGGCAGCAGUGGGGAAUAUUGCACAAUGGGCGGAAGCCUGAUGCAGCAACGCCGCGUGCGGGAUGACGGCCUUCGGGUGGUAAACCGCUUUCGCCUGUGACGAAGCGUGAGUGACGGUAAUGGUAAAGAAGCACCGGCUAACUACGUG
Molecule: ribosomal RNA, 467 nt
Filed under: uncultured bacterium
Lineage: Bacteria
Description: partial 16S ribosomal RNA
Rfam family: Bacterial small subunit ribosomal RNA
Source: RNAcentral